This 612-nucleotide unclassified non-coding RNA is filed under the name Hevea brasiliensis (rubber tree). The record is from RNAcentral. Lineage: Eukaryota; Viridiplantae; Streptophyta; Magnoliopsida; Malpighiales; Euphorbiaceae.
GCACCCUUCAAAACUUGUAAAUAACGGUUGAUACGCUACAUAACGGCCGUUAUUUGAAACCAUGAUAUUGGCACUCAUUUAAUUGCAACACAUUUACUACCUAAGUUGAUCUUAAGAUAUGGUUGGAAGUGAAAAAUGAUUGUUGAUGGAUAGUGCACAUCUAAUCGGUCUUGAGAGUCCAAACACUGUCAGGAUUGGGUUAGCACCAGAAUCUUGAUUGGUUGCCUUUUGCAAGUGAAAUUCAAGAAAAAUGUUAAAAAAACUUAUGUGCCUAUCUUUAUUGUACGAAGCCAUGCUACAGGACACACUGACUCUAGAAAUGGCAUACCAACUACCCCAAAUACUAGCAUCUGUUAUUAUUCUCUUGGUUGUACUCUUCUGAGUUAGGAAAUAAAAAUUUUGCUUUCAAUAGUUUCAUUAGAUGUUUUAUUUAAGCACUAUCCUACCUUAAAUUUAACCUGGCAAAAAACAUUGAUGUAGGUGAUACCGCGAUAGUUAAUAAUGUCUUUUAGGAGAUUCUGUUCAUGGUUUUUUGAAAGCCUACUCGAUUGAUUAUUUGUGUAGUUCUUCAGAAACUUGAGUACAUUCAUCUUGUUUUUAUCAUACUAAUAU